RNAcentral lists this ribosomal RNA (635 nucleotides) under uncultured Ruegeria sp. RNAcentral describes it as "bacterial SSU rRNA". It matches the Rfam family "Bacterial small subunit ribosomal RNA", at positions 123 to 793 of the family's 1533-position model. Lineage: Bacteria; Pseudomonadati; Pseudomonadota; Alphaproteobacteria; Rhodobacterales; Roseobacteraceae. The record is from RNAcentral.
AACGUACCCUUUUCUACGGAAUAGCCUCGGGAAACUGAGAGUAAUACCGUAUACGCCCUUCGGGGGAAAGAUUUAUCGGAGAAGGAUCGGCCCGCGUUAGAUUAGGUAGUUGGUGGGGUAACGGCCUACCAAGCCUACGAUCUAUAGCUGGUUUUAGAGGAUGAUCAGCAACACUGGGACUGAGACACGGCCCAGACUCCUACGGGAGGCAGCAGUGGGGAAUCUUAGACAAUGGGGGCAACCCUGAUCUAGCCAUGCCGCGUGAGUGAUGAAGGCCUUAGGGUCGUAAAGCUCUUUCGCCUGUGAUGAUAGUGACAGUAGCAGGUAAAGAAACCCCGGCUAACUCCGUGCCAGCAGCCGCGGUAAUACGGAGGGGGUUAGCGUUGUUCGGAAUUACUGGCGUAAAGCGCGCGUAGGCGGAUUAGAAAGUUGGGGGUGAAAUCCCGGGGCUCAACCCCGGAACUGCCUCCAAAACUGCUAGUCUAGAGUUCGAGAGAGGUGAGUGGAAUUCCGAGUGUAGAGGUGAAAUUCGUAGAUAUUCGGAGGAACACCAGUGGCGAAGGCGGCUCACUGGCUCGAUACUGACGCUGAGGUGCGGAAGUGUGGGGAGCAAACAGGAUUAGAUACCCUGGUAG